ACCUGCCUUCAGGAUGGGGACAACAGACGGAAACGACUGCUAAUACCGAAUAAGUUCCAAGAGCCGCAUGGCCCAUGGAAGAAAAGGUGGCCUCUACCUGUAAGCUAUCGCCUGAAGAGGGGUUUGCGUCUGAUUAGCUGGUUGGAGGGGUAACGGCCCACCAAGGCGACGAUCAGUAGCCGGUCUGAGAGGAUGAACGGCCACACUGGAACUGAGACACGGUCCAGACUCCUACGGGAGGCAGCAGUGGGGAAUCUUCCGCAAUGGGCGAAAGCCUGACGGAGCAACGCCGCGUGAGUGAUGACGGCCUUCGGGUUGUAAAACUCUGUGAUCCGGGACGAAAAGGCAGAGUGCGAAGAACAAACUGCAUUGACGGUACCGGAAAAGCAAGCCACGGCUAACUACGUGCCAGCAGCCGCGGUAAUACGUAGGUGGCAAGCGUUGUCCGGAAUUAUUGGGCGUAAAGCGCGCGCAGGCGGCUUCCCAAGUCCCUCUUAAAAGUGCGGGGCUUAACCCCGUGAUGGGAAGGAAACUGGGAAGCUGGAGUAUCGGAGAGGAAAGUGGAAUUCCUAGUGUAGCGGUGAAAUGCGUAGAGAUUAGGAAGAACACCGGUGGCGAAGGCGACUUUCUGGACGAAAACUGACGCUGAGGCGCGAAAGCGUGGGGAGCAAACAGGAUUAGAUACCCUGGUAGUCCACGCCGUAAACGAUGGAUACUAGGUGUAGGAGGUAUCGACCCCUCCUGUGCCGGAGUUAACGCAAUAAGUAUCCCGCCUGGGAA
This 780-nucleotide ribosomal RNA is filed under the name uncultured bacterium. Its description in RNAcentral is "bacterial SSU rRNA". It matches the Rfam family "Bacterial small subunit ribosomal RNA", at positions 124 to 879 of the family's 1533-position model. The record is from RNAcentral.